RNAcentral lists this ribosomal RNA (130 nucleotides) under Campylobacterales bacterium. The record is from RNAcentral. Lineage: Bacteria; Pseudomonadati; Campylobacterota; Epsilonproteobacteria; Campylobacterales.
GUUGGUGGUUAUAGAGGGGAGGAAAUACCCAGCCCCAUUCCGAACCUGGCAGUCCGAACCUGGCAGUCAAGCUCCCCAUCGCCGAUAAUACUGACCCCUACGGGGUUGGAAACGUAGGUCACCGCCAACU